Molecule: unclassified non-coding RNA, 431 nt
Filed under: uncultured fungus
Lineage: Eukaryota; Fungi
Description: partial contains small subunit ribosomal RNA, internal transcribed spacer 1, and 5.8S ribosomal RNA
Rfam family: Eukaryotic small subunit ribosomal RNA (bases 1-73)
Source: RNAcentral
GCAAACUUGGUCAUUUAGAGGAAGUAAAAGUCGUAACAAGGUAACCGUAGGUGAACCUGCGGUUGGAUCAUUACAAAAAUACACCACACUCUUGUGGAGUACAUCUUUGUGAACCUUGAGAAGCAGGACACUGCUUAGCACAACGGGAAGAUUUUCAACUUGUUGUGCCUUCUGUUAUGGGUGAUUCGUUGUCCUUUGUUGUGAAGGAUAAACCACGCCAGUUUGUUGGAUCGUCUGAUUGGACAAUCUGGUUGUGCCCUGCAGUGUGUAAAGCCUUUUCAAAGAGCCUUACUCCUGUACUACAAGGGGGGUCCCCAAACUUAAACUUGAAUCAAUUUUUUUUGAAUUUGUUUUUUUAUUUCUAUGCAAAUAAAAAAAAUACAACUUCUGACAACGGAUCUCUUGGGUCGGGCAUCGAUGAAGAACGCAGC